RNAcentral lists this ribosomal RNA (253 nucleotides) under uncultured bacterium. RNAcentral describes it as "partial 16S ribosomal RNA". It matches the Rfam family "Bacterial small subunit ribosomal RNA", at positions 524 to 776 of the family's 1533-position model. The record is from RNAcentral.
UACGUAGGGGGCAAGCGUUGUCCGGAUUUAUUGGGCGUAAAGAGCGUGUAGGCGGCCAUACAGGUCAGCUGUGAAAACUCGAGGCUCAACCUCGAGACGUCGGUUGAAACCGUUUGGCUAGAGUCCGGAAGAGGAGAGUGGAAUUCCCGGUGUAGCGGUGAAAUGCGCAGAUAUUGGGAGGAACACCAGUGGCGAAGGCGGCUCACUGGACCGGUACUGACGCUGAAGCGCGAAAGCGUGGGGAGCAAACGGG